UGAAGAAAUGCAGCAAGGAAAGACCUUCUUGCUGAUCUAGGCUUAAGACUUUUUCCAAACAAGCAAAAGCAGCUCAGCAGAUUUUUCAGGCCAAAAAUUUGGAUAGGGAUGUUUGUAAAUUGGUUUGUUUUGCCCUCCUGUAUGCCAUCCUGGUUUAUCGGAUGUAAAAAAUGUGGAUUAUCUGGAUUUCAGUUGUAUUCUGCCCACUCGAGGACCAGACCAGAAAUACUUGAUUAUGGUACUACUUGCAUCCAACUUGUACUCAACCAAAGGAAUUGUGUCCAAGCAAGAUCACAGUCUCUGUUGCUUCAUAUAUUUGAGAAGAAUGCAAUAACUAAAGUAAGAUGAUAAACUGAAAUUUGGAAAUGGAAAUGGCUUGAAAUCCACGUAUCUGAAGGACAUGGAAAUCACCAAGUGAAAGACUUUGGGAUGCUGUCAUAUGAAACUGUUCCUUCUGAGAGGAUGUUGCUGCACUGACAAUGGAGUAUUUUUGAGGGGCUUGUUUCACCCUGCUGCUCUCAUUAUGGCUUACACAUCACAAGAAUGCUUAUUUUCCCUACCAAGCUGAUCCCUGAGCUCUUGCUGUAUGGCUGGCUUACUAGAAUUGCUGGUUAGUCUGAAUGAUCAUUUUACACAGUUUUGGGGUCUUCUCCCCUUUUUUUUUAAUUCUUUGCAACUCAAAUAUAUUCUGAACUGAUAUUGUUAGAUUCAUUUAUUCUGUUUCUUGAUGAUUUUUAUCUUACACAUAUAAUUGUAAGCGCCGUAUUUUUUAUCUUGCAUUGGUGUAGUGGUUGUGUUCUGAACUGAAGGAGAUGAGUGAUCUGAGGAAUCCAGGCCAAUGCUGGUUUAGGUAAAAUGAUCACACAUGAAUAGAUCUGCUUAGCAUUCAGGAGCCCUAUAAUCCUUCUCUGGCGUUUGAGGAGACCAUAGGGUGGUGAUGGGCUCCUCUGUCCUUCAUCUAAUACUUGCCCAGUGUAAGAACACUGGAAAACAGGUCAUUGUCCUCACAGGAUCCCUGUGAGGUUGGCAGUACUGCUGUCACCAUUUUGCAGAUGAGGAAAUUUUUGGCAGAAGAGAAUUGAAUGACAUAACCAGCAUUCCUCUAAUAUAUAUCAGAUAGUGAUCUAUAGAAGCAUAAAUCCAUAAAUCCUUUUUACCUCCUUCCCAAGUUUGGCAGAAGACUUUGUACUCUUCCUGAUUUCUGUCCUAGUCAGAAUUGUUCUGCCAUCUGCUCCAAAUUAAUUUCUGUAACUUUCCAUGAUUUCCCAAAUAAAAAUAUUGGAUUGCAUUUGUGUCAUGUUUACAAUGUACAUGGAGGAGAGGGGAAAUCUCAGAGGAGUCAGAUCAUGGAUCUUAAAGCUUGCAUCUGCAUUGUUGUGACGCUGUGAGUAUGCACAGAGCAAGAAAGAACUUUUCUGUGCUAGGUGAAUUUCUAGGGAGUCUUUCCUUUCAAUGGUCAACAACAAGUUUUGGAAAACAGGAUGAUUCUACCUUGGUAUGUUUUUUGAUACAUAAAGACAAAAAUAACAAAAUAUCUAUUUCUUUUAUAAUUAGGGGGGAAAUGCAUUUAGAUUUUUGGUUUGACCCACUUGAUCCCACAUUGAAGAGAAAGAGAAGGGUGAGACAAAGAAAUCAAAAGUUUUUCUGUCUUAAUAAUUUCUAGAUAAACAUCACCAGUGAGCUUAUUAGUAUGGCAUUUUCAGUGGAAAUACAGUAUUUCAGCUGGACAAAAUGCAAGAAUGUUUCCUACUCAGGAAUGGAACAAUCCUUCAUACUGCCACAGCUGCCUCAGCUCCUAAUAUGGAUUUAGCAAGUAGCUCAAAAAUACCCAUCAGAACCCAAAGAUGCAGUUGCUGUGGUGGUUUUUCAAAACCUUAAAGGCAUAUACAAAAAAAAAAAAGUUAGAAAAAAAUUUGCUUUAACAAUUGUUGAUUGCAAAAUAUGAGGGAUCUUGCAUUUUCCCGGAGUUACUAGCCAUUUGUUUUGAUUUCUUCCAUAGCAGGUUCUGCCUUGAAUAUGCUACAAAAUUUGAUUCUGUUGUGUUUUAUGUGCACUGAGCUCAAGCAAAAGCCUUCUGUCACAAUGUCAGUGCCAUUUUGCUCUU
This is a long non-coding RNA of Prinia subflava (tawny-flanked prinia), 2104 nucleotides long. RefSeq lists it as uncharacterized. The record is from RefSeq and is a predicted model, not a curated record. The transcript is spliced from 3 exons. Lineage: Eukaryota; Metazoa; Chordata; Aves; Passeriformes; Cisticolidae.